Molecule: ribosomal RNA, 945 nt
Filed under: uncultured archaeon
Lineage: Archaea
Description: bacterial SSU rRNA
Rfam family: Archaeal small subunit ribosomal RNA
Source: RNAcentral
GGCCGCGGGAAUUCGAUUUCUGGUUGAUCCUGCCAGACCCGACUGCUAUCAGAGUGGGACUAAGCCAUGCGAGUCAACGUAGUAAUACGUGGCAUACGGCUCAGUAACACGUAGUCAACAUGCCCAGGGGACGUGGAUAACCUCGGGAAACUGAGGAUAAACCGCGAUAGGCCAUAAUUCCUGGAAUGGUUUAUGACUGAAACCUACAUGGCCCCUGGAUUGGACUGCGGCCAAUCAGGCUGUUGGUGAGGUAAUGGCCCACCAAACCUGUAACCGGUACGGGCUCUGAGAGGAGAAGCCCGGAGAUGGGCACUGAGACAAGGGCCCAGGCCCUAUGGGGUGCAGCAGGCGCGAAACCUCUGCAAUAGGCGAAAGCCUGACAGGGUUACUCUGAGUGGUUCCCGCUAAGGGGAUCUUUUGGCACCUCUAAAAAUGGUGCAGAAUAAGGGGUGGGCAAGCCUGGUGUCAGCCGCCGCGGUAAUACCAGCACCCCGAGUGGUCGGGACGAUUAUUGGGCCUAAAGCAUCCGUAGCCGGUCAUGCAAGUCUUCCGUUAAAUCCACCCGCUCAACGGUUGGGCUGCGGAGGAUACUACGUGGCUAGGAGGCGGGAGAGGCAAGCGGUACUCAGUGGGUAGGGGUAAAAUCCUUUGAUCCAUUGAAGACCACCAGUGGCGAAGGCGGCUUGCCAGAACGCGCUCGACGGUGAGGGAUGAAAGCUGGGGGAGCAAACCGGAUUAGAUACCCGGGUAGUCCCAGCUGUAAACGAUGCAGACUCGGUGAUGGGAUGGCCUCGAGCUAUCCCAGUGCCGCAGGGAAGCCGUUAAGUCUGCCGCCUGGGGAGUACGGUCGCAAGACUGAAACUUAAAGGAAUUGGCGGGGGAGCACCACAAGGGGUGAAGCCUGCGGUUCAAUUGGAUUCAACGCCGGAAAUCACUAGUGAAUUC